RNAcentral lists this unclassified non-coding RNA (574 nucleotides) under Buckleyzyma salicina. RNAcentral's name for it is "sequence contains ITS1, 5.8S rRNA gene, ITS2". The stretch from base 147 to 300 matches the Rfam family "5.8S ribosomal RNA". The record is from RNAcentral. Lineage: Eukaryota; Fungi; Basidiomycota; Cystobasidiomycetes; Buckleyzymales; Buckleyzymaceae.
AUGAAAUUCUAGGACGCUCUUUUUAGAGGUCCGACAAAAUCAUUCCUUUCUACACUGUGCACACACUACCUUUUUUACACCCAAUUUUUUAACACCUUAGUAUUAAGAAUGUAAAUCAGUCUCUUAAUUGAGCAUCAAACAAAUAAAACUUUCAGCAACGGAUCUCUUGGCUCUCGCAUCGAUGAAGAACGCAGCGAAAUGCGAUACGUAAUGUGAAUUGCAGAAUUCAGUGAAUCAUCGAAUCUUUGAACGCACCUUGCACUCUUUGGUAUUCCGAAGAGUAUGUCUGUUUGAGUGUCAUGAAACUCUCAACCCCACUAUUUUGUAAUGAAAUAGGUCGCGGGCUUGGUUUAUGGUUGUUGCUGGCUUUACCGUCAGCUCGACUGAAAUAUACGAGCUACCCAAUUCAACUUUGAAUUAGACGGUUUGACUCGGCGUAAUAAUCUAUUUCGCUGAGGACGUCUUCAUUAAAUUUAAUGAUAGUGGUGCUUCUAACGCAUUAGCAAUUUAAGCUUUAGACCUCAAAUCAGUCAGGACUACCCGCUGAACUUUAAGCAUAUCAAUAAGCGGAGGA